CCGAAUCUCCAACUCAUCCGUUGAUCAGCAGCUUCUUCGACCUCUCUCUACCCCUCUCUCUCUCUCUCUCUCUCUCUCUCUGCAGCAAAAGAAAAAGCCCUAAAAAGGUUUCGAAUUUUGAGGGGGUUUCGGAUUUUCAUUGAUUUCGAAUUCGACAUAAGCAGUGUUGUCUGAGAAAGUUUGAAAACCACCAUGGCUACUAACAACAAAAAUGAAGAACCCAACACAGCUCCUCAGCCCGAUCGUUGGUAUAACCUAACCCUAGGUUCCUCUUUCAAAGACCACCGUCCCUCCUCCAAGUUCUGCACUUUACGUUAUGAAUUUAAACCGGCUUCAAUUGAUAAGAACCAGCCAGGAUCACUGCAUAAGAACAAGGAAAACAGGGUUACUGUAGAAUUCCACAACAACCAACCUGGAAAACCAAAAGUGACCUUCGAGGGCAGUAGCGAGGACUACAAGGAAAAUGAUGCUGUUUUAUUCUUUGGCGGUGAGACCUUUCGGUUGGAACGGUUGCAUCGGGCAGUAAAGCGGUUGAGACAUGUUCGGCUACCUGGUGAGUCUGCUACUGCAGCUGCAACAACUUCACUUGGACCAGCCAUAGAAUCUGGUUCACCACCGCUCGGUAAAGUGGCUAAGUUCCAGUCUUUGAACAAGAGCAUACCACAUUCAAUGCCCGUUGAGAUUGAACGAAUUGAAAUUGGUGACUUCAAGAGUUUAGAUACAAAACCUAAAAAUGAGAAGGUUGUCGAUUAUCCAUCUGCCCGACCAGAUCCAUUUAUUGCAUCACCAAACCUUAAGAAUGAUGACUUGGAGGAACAGAUAGACAUAGUCAAUGACGAUGAAGAUGGUGGUGAAGCAGGCAAUGGCGGGAACGAUGCUGAAAAAGAAUUCCACACCGGUAUUGACAUUAAUGUACCACAUCAAAAUGAUACAGAUGAUGAGAUUGCUGAAGUAGAUGUCAGUGACGAUGAGGAUAAGGGUCGUAACGCCGCAGAAGCCCUUAGAGCACAGGUGAAUGCAGAGGAAAGACGAGAGCAAACUUCAAGCUCUAGUGGCGGCAGUGGGAGCGAGAGUAGCGAAAGUGGGAGUGGAAGCGGAAGUGGGAGCGGGAGUGGGAGUGGGAGCAGCAGCAGUGACAGUGAGAGUGAUGAUGACUCUGUCAACUCUAUCUGAAAACUGGAAGUCCUGCAAGUCACUUCAGUUGAGCACCUCUACAUUGACUGUGAUGGUACAAAACAACAGGUCGGCGAGUAAGAUGCCAGAUCUAGGAAACUGUGUGCAUUGGAACUGUGUGCUUCUGGAGUGGAUUCUGAAUGAAAGCUUUGAGGAAGGGAUUCAUGAAAUUAUCGCGAUCAGAUCUGCAAAGAGGAGAAAAUAACCAAAUAGUGAUUUGAAAUGAGGUACAUAUGAAAAGAAUGUCAACGAGAUAAGAGUAUGUUUGGAUGACCAACCCGCUGCUCGAGCUUCCAUGCAACUCUCCAUGAUGGUGUUUUGUUAAGCUUAAGCCUUGUGGUACACCAUUUCUCUUAUUUGUAUGCCAAUCUCUGUCGCCUCAAAGUAUAUGCCACGGUUGAGUGAGAGAUUUAUGAGUUCUAUACGAGAAGUUCACUCUCAUUUACGCAAAAAAUUAAUUUAAAAAUGAGAAAUUGCUCAGUUUUGUGUAACUUAAAAUUUUGGGAUGGAAUAUCGCAGUUUCAUGUCAUCCCAGUUUCUCAAUUUUGUGAUGAAGUCUGUCAAAUUUGGGAUCAAUUUCCUUAGUUUUUGAAAGGAACUUUCACAGUUUUGGAUUGA
Camellia sinensis is the source of this 1791-nucleotide RNA transcript. RefSeq lists it as uncharacterized. The record is from RefSeq and is a predicted model, not a curated record. NCBI's taxonomy places the organism in Eukaryota, Viridiplantae, Streptophyta, Magnoliopsida, Ericales, Theaceae.